Pan paniscus (pygmy chimpanzee) is the source of this 107-nucleotide small nuclear RNA. NCBI's taxonomy places the organism in Eukaryota, Metazoa, Chordata, Mammalia, Primates, Hominidae. The record is from Ensembl.
AUGCUUGCUUUGGCAGCACAUAUACUAAAAUUGGAACGACACAGAGAAGAUUAGCAUGGCCCCUGCACAAGGAUGACACGCAAAUUUGUGAAGUGUUCCAUAUUUUU